UGAUUUUGGAUCCGACUGAGUGGCGAACUGGUGAGUAACACGUGGGUAACCUGCCCAGAAGAAGGGGAUAACACCUGGAAACAGAUGCUAAUACCGUAUAACAACAAGAACCACAUGGUUCUUGUUUGAAAGCUGGCCUUUGUGCUAGUGCUUCUGGAUGGACCCGCGGCGUAUUAGCUAGUUGGUGAGAUAAUAGCUCACCAAGGCAAUGAUACGUAGCAGACCUGAGAGGGUAAUCUGCCACAAUGGGACUGAGACACGGCCCAUACUCCUACGGGAGGCAGCAGUAGGGAAUCUUCCACAAUGGACGAAAGUCUGAUGGAGCAACGCCGCGUGAGUGAAGAAGGGUUUCGGCUCGUAAAACUCUGUUGUUAGAGAAGAACAGCCGUGAGAGCAACUGCUCACGGUAUGACGGUAUCUAACCAGAAAGUCACGGCUAACUACGUGCCAGCAGCCGCGGUAAUACGUAGGUGGCAAACGUUGUCCGGAUUUAUUGGGCGUAAAGGGAGCGCAGGCGGUUUAUUAAGUCUGAUGUGAAAGCCUUCGGCUUAACCGGAGAAGUGCAUCGGAAACUGAUAAACUUGAGUGCAGAAAAGGAUAGUGGAACUUCAUGUGUAGCGGUGAAAUGCGUAGAUAUAUGAAGGAACACCAGUGGCGAAGGCGGCUAUCUGGUCUGUAACUGACGCUGAGGCUCGAAAGCAUGGGUAGCAAACAGGAUUAGAUACCCUGGUAGUCCAUGCCGUAAACGAUGAAUGCUAGGUGUUGGAAGGUUUCCGCCUUUCAGUGCCGCAGCUAACGCAUUAAGCAUUCCGCCUGGGGAGUACGACCGCAAGGUUGAAACUCAAAGGAAUUGACGGGGACCCGCACAAGCGGUGGAGCAUGUGGUUUAAUUCGAUGCUACGCGAAGAA
Molecule: ribosomal RNA, 909 nt
Filed under: Fructilactobacillus sanfranciscensis
Lineage: Bacteria; Bacillati; Bacillota; Bacilli; Lactobacillales; Lactobacillaceae
Description: bacterial SSU rRNA
Rfam family: Bacterial small subunit ribosomal RNA
Source: RNAcentral